GCCAGUUUGGUCUAGUGGUUAAGUCACCAGGCUAGAAACCAGGAGACUGUGAGUUCUAGUCUAGUCUUUGGCA
This 73-nucleotide transfer RNA is filed under the name Ophiophagus hannah (king cobra). It matches the Rfam family "tRNA". From Rfam's summary of the family: Transfer RNA (tRNA) molecules are approximately 80 nucleotides in length. Their secondary structure includes four short double-helical elements and three loops (D, anti-codon, and T loops). The record is from Rfam by way of RNAcentral. Lineage: Eukaryota; Metazoa; Chordata; Lepidosauria; Squamata; Elapidae.